RNAcentral lists this non-coding RNA (29 nucleotides) under Mus musculus (house mouse). Lineage: Eukaryota; Metazoa; Chordata; Mammalia; Rodentia; Muridae. The record is from RNAcentral.
UGCCACAGUGGAACAGGGUUUCUCUAAGG